UACGUAGGCAGCGAGCGUUGUUCGGAAUUACUGGGCGUAAAGAGUGUGUAGGCGGUGCUCCCAGUCUGUUGUGAAAUCUCCCGGCUUAACUGGGAGGGUGCAGCGGAAACUAGAGUGCUAGAGGGUGGGAGAGGUAAGCGGAAUUCCUGGUGUAGCGGUGAAAUGCGUAGAUAUCAGGAGGAACACCCGUGGUGUAGACAGCUUACUGGACCACUUCUGACGCUGAGACACGAAAGCGUGGGUAGCAAACAGG
This 253-nucleotide ribosomal RNA is filed under the name uncultured bacterium. RNAcentral describes it as "partial 16S ribosomal RNA". It matches the Rfam family "Bacterial small subunit ribosomal RNA", at positions 524 to 776 of the family's 1533-position model. The record is from RNAcentral.